GACGAACGCUAGCGGCAGGCUUAACACAUGCAAGUCGAGGGGCAGCAUAAUGGAUAGCAAUAUCUAUGGUGGCGACCGGCGCACGGGUGCGUAUCGCGUAUGCAACCUACCUUUAACAGGGGGAUAACACUGAGAAAUUGGUACUAAUACCCCAUAUUAUCAUAGAAGGUAUCUUUUAUGGUUGAAAAUUCCGAUGGUUAGAGAUGGGCAUGCGUUGUAUUAGCUGGUUGGUGGGGUAACGGCUCACCAAGGCGGCGAUACAUAGGGGGACUGGGAGGUUAACCCCCGAUACGGGAACUGGGACACGGACCAGAGUACUACGGGAGGGAGCAGAGAGGAAUAUUGGUCAAUGGACGCAAGUCUGAACCAGCCAGGCCGAGUGCAGGAUGACGGCGCUAUGAGUUGUAAACUGCUUUUGGGCGAGGGUAAACGCAUAUACGUGUAUCUGUCUGAAAGUAUCGUACGAAUAAGGAUCGGCUAACUCCGUG
RNAcentral lists this ribosomal RNA (488 nucleotides) under uncultured bacterium. RNAcentral describes it as "partial 16S ribosomal RNA". It matches the Rfam family "Bacterial small subunit ribosomal RNA", at positions 28 to 507 of the family's 1533-position model. The record is from RNAcentral.